Pseudopipra pipra is the source of this 3181-nucleotide RNA transcript. It is a transcript of the gene named tubulin epsilon 1, with no coding region annotated. NCBI's taxonomy places the organism in Eukaryota, Metazoa, Chordata, Aves, Passeriformes, Pipridae. The transcript has 13 exons. The record is from RefSeq and is a predicted model, not a curated record.
GGACGUUCCACCGCAGGAACUCAGGGGGCGCGGCUUCCGGGCGCCCACUUCGAAACGGCAGAGCGUCGCCGGCCCCGCCAUGACGCAGUCGGUGGUGGUGCAGGUGGGACAGUGCGGGAACCAGGUGGGCUGCCGGUUCUGGGACCUGGCGCUGCGGGAACACGCCGCCGUCAACAAGAAAGGAAUUUAUGAUGAAGCCUUAAGCAGCUUCUUUAGGAACGUAGAUACAAGAAGUGGCGGUGAUGGUCCUGGUAUUUACAAAGGAAAAAUCUGCUCUUUAAAAGCACGAGUAAGGCAAUCUAUAAAGGCACUGUUGAUUGACAUGGAGGAGGGUGUGGUAAAUGAAAUUCUGCAGGGACCAUUGAGGGAUAUGUUUGAUAGCAAGCAGCUUAUCACAGAUGUUUCUGGUUCAGGAAACAACUGGGCUGUAGGUCAUAAGCUAUAUGGCUAUCAGUACCGGGAAAACAUUGUGGAAAAGCUGAGGAAAACCGCAGAACAUUGUGACUGUCUGCAAUGUUUCUUUAUAAUUCAUUCCAUGGGAGGUGGGACAGGAUCUGGUCUUGGAACUUUUGUACUAAAUUUGCUUGAGGACGAAUUCCCAGAAGUGUAUAGAUUUGUUACUUCAGUUUAUCCCUCUGGUGAAGAUGAUGUUAUUACUUCUCCAUAUAAUAGUGUUCUGGCUAUGAAGGAGCUUAAUGAACAUGCAGACUGUGUGUUACCAGUAGAGAAUGAAUCUCUGUUUGAUAUAGUUAAUAAAAUUAAUCAGAUGAUCAAUUCUGGGAAGCUGGGGUCAACCGUGAAGCAAAAUAGCUUGGUAACAUCAAGUACAGGCAGUGUAAAAACUCUCCAAGAGAAGCCAUUUGAUGCAAUGAAUAAUAUCGUAGCCAACUUGCUGCUGAACCUGACAAGCUCUGCUAGAUUUGAAGGUUCCCUGAACAUGGAUCUUAAUGAAAUCAGUAUGAAUUUGGUUCCAUUUCCUCGACUUCAUUAUUUGGUUUCAAGCUUGACUCCUCUGUAUACGUUGGCGGAUGUUAACGUACCUUCUAGAAGGUUGGAUCAGAUGUUUUCAGAUGCAUUCAGUAGAGAUCAUCAACUAAUUCAAGCAGAUCCAAAGCACAGCCUCUACCUUGCCUGUGCACUUCUUGUUCGAGGAAAUGUGCAGGUUUCAGACCUUCGCCGAAAUAUUGAAAGGUUAAAACCUUCUCUGCACUUUGUCUCCUGGAAUCAAGAGGGCUGGAAAACUGGUUUGUGUUCAGUACCUCCCGUGGGCCAUUCCCAUUCACUUCUGGCUUUAGCAAACAACACCUGCAUAAAGCCAACUUUCAUUGAACUCAAGGAGAGAUUUAUGAAGCUCUACAAGAAAAAGGCUCACCUUCACCAUUAUCUGCAAAUAGAUGGGAUGGAGCAAAGCUGUUUUUCUGAAGCUGUGUCCUCGUUGUCUGAUCUAAUAGAAGAGUACAAUGAACUGGAUGUGACAAAAGGUGGGCCUAGAACAGACCCAUCAAGACUGAAGAUAGCUGUUUAAAGAAGGAAGAACUGCUCUUUUUUUUUUUGUUUAAAAAGAAUGAAAUACUUCCUAAGCAUCCAGCCACUUCAGUUAACCAGAAUGACUUGCAGCAUGCCUGGCUGUUGUAAUUCUGAAGUGGGACCAGGACAACGGCUUUCUCAGCUCAAGAGUUGUCAUAUUAAGUGAUAAGCCCUGCCUGUAAGAAAGAUUUGACAGCACCUAAUUAUAGCUGAUAUCAGUAAGAGCAGUAAUCCUAACUGUGGAGUAAAUUGACACACCAUAUGCUGUGAAGAGAAGGAAAAGAGAUUUUAGCAGCCAAAAAUGUAAUUCUUUUCUCAGACUUUACAGUAAACUAAAGGACUUUGAGUUCCGAAAACAUAUCUCCUGGAGCACUGCAAAUCCUCUGGCAUACGCACGACGUUAUCCACAUCAUCUUCCACUUGAAGAAGCCUUCGUUGGGACACUCAAACUGUACAGUGAUCAUUUUGGACUUAUUAGGUAUGCAGCACCUCUUGUCCAAGCACACCCCACAGAAAGUUAGUCUGUAGCUUUGAGUAGUUGAGCAUCCAGAAAAAACUAGCUUCUCUGCUCUUGGAAGCUGGAAUGUUGGUUGACAUGUUUUUCCUUUUGAAAUCUUUAAUAUUAGAACAAAGAAAAGCCUGAGUUUUCUAUGCAUUAAAAACAGACCAUGUAAGAAAUAGUUGCAACAUUUACUUAGAAAUAUCUUAAAAGUUAGUCUGAAACUAACUUGGUCUGAAACUGCCUUAUUUUUCCUUUAGCAGUCAGCAAAUAGAAAGUACUUUUGGAGUGACUGUGCAUCAGGGCAGCACUAGCAACACAUCUAUAUCAGGACAUUACAUUUUUUUUGCUUUAAAUUGCACAUCUGUAGUUUACUAUUGAAGCCUGAAGAUUGAAUGUAGAAAACAUAAGAGUUAUUUUAAAACCCUUAAAAAAGAAAGAAGUAAAUGUUUUAUUAGUAACUGCUAAUACAUCCAUUUUUCCACUAGCUCCAAUAUUUUCGUUUUCUAUUAAGAAGUAAUUUUAUAUUAGAAAAUACCUUUAUUUUCUUCAGCAUAUUAGUCAGACAUGGCUGGAUGAAGCAUAAUCUCUUUUCUUUUUUCAUCUCACAUCUUCUGUUGUCGUUGGUCACUCUGCUGGAUAUGCCUAUGCCACAGGUCCUGGAGCAGGGUGUCCAGGGAGUUGCCUGUACAAGGCACUUUUUCUUCAAGACUAGCGGUAAGCUUCUGUAAGCUAAGACAGCAAUAUAUUAUUUAUGCAGCAGAACAGCCCCAAAAGGAUGAAUUGAAAAUACAAGGAUAAGACUUUGAUUUCUGUUCCUGAAGGUACUUCUGGAGGUAAACGUAGAAAUGAGACAUAAAUAACAUUAUUCAAAAACCAACUGAGCUGCUGUUAAACAUUACUGACACUGGAUACUCAGAUCCUAGUAAGGACUAUCAAAUUGCAUAUGUUAUAUGACUCUCCAGUUCCGCUUAAUGGAAAUGUUAAGUGGAGAGGGUUAUUUGUGGAAUUUUUAUGGAAUGUCCAGAUUUUUUUUUAUUUUAUUUCAGGCCAAACAUAGCUUGUAAAGGGCUGCUGAAAACAUUAAUGUUCAUUUCUUUGUAGAUACUGUGAAGACUUUAGAGUUUGUGUUGAGGAAUAAAAUACUCCAAUCAC